This 50-nucleotide non-coding RNA is filed under the name Acidiphilium cryptum. RNAcentral's name for it is "Guanidine-II sequence". It matches the Rfam family "Guanidine-II riboswitch aptamer (mini-ykkC)". From Rfam's summary of the family: Simpler in structure and has fewer highly conserved nucleotide positions than the ykkC-yxkD leader. Despite this each of its two stem-loop structures directly bind free guanidine. Therefore, mini-ykkC RNA motif represents a distinct class of guanidine-sensing RNAs. The record is from RNAcentral. RNAcentral also lists the same sequence under 1 other name. Lineage: Bacteria; Pseudomonadati; Pseudomonadota; Alphaproteobacteria; Acetobacterales; Acidocellaceae.
GCCGGGGGACGACCCCACGGCCGGGACGAUCGCCCGCGAGGACGGCCUCG